Long non-coding RNA from Columba livia (rock pigeon), 4970 nucleotides. RefSeq lists it as uncharacterized. NCBI's taxonomy places the organism in Eukaryota, Metazoa, Chordata, Aves, Columbiformes, Columbidae. The record is from RefSeq and is a predicted model, not a curated record. The transcript is spliced from 2 exons.
ACUUUUAGAGAUAUUAGCAUUUUAUCACUGGGUUUGAUAGCAGAGCUGAAGCUGAAAUUACUGGGUGGUACUGCUCCUCAUGUUACAUUUCCCAGGAGAAUAGGCCUGAAAUAGCCAUGUAGUGGGCAACUAAAGAUACUGUUGUGCCAGCCGGUUUAAGAACUCUAAUGAGGCAAAAUUAUUUCCCUGGAAGUUGCUCUAAUUCCUGGCUGUUUCUCAAUGGUGUAGACAUAAACACAUUAAAAACCAAAAUGAGUCUAUAAGGGCGUAAGGAAUGCUGAAGUCAGGACAGGAUGUUCUCCAGGAUGAAUUAACUGUUCACCAUUGAGAACAUUGCCUUGACAGGCCUUGUUCUCCAGCCCCUCAGCCCAAAAGGGAAAAAACCUCCCAAUGAGUUUGUCAGAGACAUGAUUAACCUGUGUCUGCCUCUGUCAUCUCUUCGGGUUCCCUCAGAUGUACUUGCAGGCCUGGUGCAUCUGCCACCUUUCAAAGCUCAACAUACGAUUCUCUGGUACUAUGAUUAUUAUUACUGCUCCAGCACCCCUCUUUGUGAGCUCUCCAAGUCAUACCAGUCCAAACGAGCUGGAGCUAACAGUUGUAACAGAGAUUGAUUCUCAUUUAAAGUAGGCACGUUUUCUUGUCAGUGUGUUUGGAGUCAGGUGUGUUUGCACAUUAGUCUGCUCGUAAUUUUUUCACCACUAAAUAGCGGUGGAGCGCAAGGAUAUAGAUAGUAGAAAACCACUGUAAGAUUAAACUCCACCUUGUGCAGGAAGAAAAAUAACCUGCACAGGUAAAAUGGGAGGUAAAAUUGCUUAGUCAGAAUGUGGGAGGUUACUGAGACUGUGGCUGUGACUGGGAGUCAUGGUUUGGUCUCUCAUUUGCUCCUGCAAAAGUACAACCCUCCUUUACCUCUCAUCAACCACUGGUGGUAAAUCUGUAAUCUAACCAGUAAUUAGUGUUUUUGUUAAAUCUUGCUUGGCUCUAAUGUUCUUCUACUGUUCUGUAGGCUGUAGCUUAGGGAUCCUUUAUAUCACAGUGUUUUAUUUAACUUGCCAUGGGGGAUUACAACAAACAGUCUGAUGCAGUGCUUAAUAUUACAGUGAAAUAGACGUUAUGUGGUCAGAUUGAUGAAAAGGAUAAUUCAUUAUUUAUCUGCCUUUGCAUGUUAUAAAGUACAGUGUUAAUUUACUUUAUAAAUAUUAGAUAUACUCAUCUGUGUAAUAGGCUUCUAUAAACACUGACAAUAGGAAAUAGUUAGAAAAAGAUUAAAUUAAAAGUAGCUGUGUAUUGGAAAUUCUAUUUCUUUGUCUGCUCUAGGAAAAUAAAAAUCUGAACAGACUCAUAAUGAGCUGCAUACCAAUUUUCUUAACUUAUGUAUGUUCAAAAAACAGCUUCAGUGGACUGUGUUUAACCAGAAGAAUAAAACCCAAUUCCUAGCUCUUUCUCUAAGUUGGAAGUGCUGCUUUCUGUUACUUAUACUUCUGUUUUAGGAGAAUAUCAUCCUUAAGGAAAUGUAACUCCCAUCAGAUUGAGGUGCUUAGCAAUAAGGGAUUCCAAGGAUGAAGGAUUAAACAGAAUACUGAUUAUUGCCCUAAGAUGGUUUGUUCUUAAGUACUUGGUAUAAUAUAAAUUCCUUUGAUUGUAAUUUUAGUAAGAUUUCUUCAGAGAUCAAAGCAUCAAAGAAGUUGCUAAAUUUCUAAGGCUUUCACAUACAUCAUCAAAUACAUGUAGCUAUUUUCUUGCUGCUUGAAUUUUCAUUUUGGUUGUGACAGUAAUAUACAAAUAAGACCUGACACUGAAAAGCCAAUUAAAUCAGGAGUUAGUUUUGUCAGUUGUGUGUAGACUGUAUAGAAUUAAGAGUUAUACAGAAUUCCAUUACUCAUUUUAUAGGCAAAUUGAUUUUUUCUUUCUCUCUCUUUUUUAUUUUUUUUUUUUUUAAUAUGUAAGGUGGAGUUUAAACAGUCAUAAGGUGAUAUCUUUGUAUCUUCUUAAGUGUUUUUCAAUACCAUUUUAAGCAAUAGUUGUAGAAGCAAUCCUAGAGAGGCAGGAAGCCCGGAGAGCGGAGAACAAAUGCACAGAAUGUGCAUCAUACGUGAUGUGAUGUGUCUAGGCCCAAAUAAUCUUCUGCCACUGAAGUAAUAUUUCUAAAAAUACCCAGAAGAAAGCAUGUUCUUGGGUAAGAGAAAGAUGCACUGAGAUUUUUAAAAGAAUUAACCUUUCUGUCUCAACAAAAGUUCCAGCCAUGCUGCAUCUAUCCCUCGGAGAGCCUGGACCUGUUGGCUUUGUGUCUUUCUCUCAUGCUGUUUUGCAAAGGUACUUCUGUGAUGGUGGUCCUGUACAGCCAUACAGGAUCCUGUACAGCCAUACGGGAGGUGAGCAGCGUUCUCUGCACCGUGCCAAGGAUGCACCAUCAGAGCCUGUGGAAGAUGCUGCCCAACUGACCUCGGGGCCAGUUUUAUCUUUCGCAAGUACCGUAGGAUCCACAUCCCUACUCAGCUGGAGAAAGCAUUCCUUAGCACAGUAGAGACUGCUGAUUCUUCAGGGCAGGUUUUGAAUGGCCUGGGUCAAAGAAGAUUAGCUGGGCCUCAGCUUGUCUGCAGUUCAGGUACAAGAGAGAUUUUCAUUGAAGCAAACACUUCUGUGGCUGUGUUGGUCCUUUUUGCAUUCACAUCGCUACAACAGCCCUUGCCACCUUAAUUUCCUACUGUAAACAGCAGUGAUAAUUGAAUUAAUACAGAAGUUAUUGGCUGAUUAAUAAAUAGUAGCAAGAAGUGCAUAUAGUUAAGGAAAAUAAAGUUAGAAUUAAUGAAACCUGAAACAAUGAUGUUUAAAGUCUUACAAUGCCAGGAAAGAGCAAAUGGAUUGGGUUUUUUGUUGUUGGUUUGGUUUGAUUUCCUGCUCUGCUGUGUAAAAAUGGUUCACCCUGUUCUUCAGAUAAACUAUAAUCUCAGAUUACUUCAUCAUUUAUAUAGUUUGUUUAGCGUCCUAUUUUUUUUCCAAAUGUUUGAUCUUAUUAGAUUCAUGGGCUGUUUUUCUUCUCCGCUGCUAAGAAUCAGACAUCUCUUUGCUUCCAGAUAUAAAUGCUGAAUGCUCAACUCUGAGAUAAGUUAUGAUCUUUUUCAUAAUCUAUAUGCAAUGAAACAAUUCAUCCCAAUGCUUGAAACAAUCCACUUUGCUCAAAGACUGAGCGUAAUCCUUCUCUGUGUGGUCUUCUGUAUGGUUUCUGUUUCUUAGAAAAUAUAUUUAUAAAUAUAUGUAAUGUACGCUGUAUAAAAAUUUUGGAGACAUAAGAUUUCAUCAUAUGUGCAAUUAAAGUAAGAAAAGAUACAUGAAUGCUGCCAGUCUGGGGAAAAUAAACAAAGAUUUAGUAGCAAUUUAGCUCUCUAGUUUCUUUAAAGAACCUGGCAGAUUUGUCAUGUAUAGUUCUUAGCAAGCCAUCUUUGGGUCUGUAGCUUUUUGCUUUUGUAACAUUUUUUCACAUUGACUUGUCAAUCAAAGCUGAGAAAAUGCAUCUGCUGUCUAUUGGGGGGCUCUUUUGUUACCAAGAAAAAUAAAAAUCAGCAAAGAGCCCUCUUUGCAAAGGAGUGUAUCACGCAGCUGUGCAUCGCGUUAUGGUAACAUAUAGCAGACUAUGUAGUAAUGGGGAUGUUUCACUGGGAAGUGUUUCUCAUGAUAAAAGCUAUAGUUCUCGGUCAAUUAAACAGGGGGUGGUUGGUGAUUGCUUAGGAGCAUUUCUCUGUCCAGGCUUCCAUUAGGUGGAGUAAAAUUCACAAGAAAUAUAUUCAAAUAGCAGGCUGAGGCAUCUGAAAUCUGUCAAAAUCCUAUUCUGGUAUUAGGUUUUUGCAAACUGCUGUUGCUUUGAGACGAAUAAUUUGUGCCCCUUCCUCAUUUCUGACCUGCACAUCCCAGGUGAUGCUGCUGGGGGAUGUGCAGGGGAAGGGACAGGGGUGGGCUCCUGCUGUAAAAUACAGACAUAUGGCCAUGAAGGAAGAACAACACGGAUUCCGUUUGUCUGCGUACCUUUGGGGGUAGAUAGAAAAGCAGACUGGUUAAUACUCAAGUUGUUAGGCCGUUCACCUGGAGAUGUGGGACCUCCCCGUGCAAGGCCUGCCAUUUCGGGUCACUGGGCUGUGUGCAGUGGUUUUCUUCUCUCACACUCCCUUGUGUUUUAAAAAGAAAAGGACUUUGGAAGCUCUAACCUUAAUUCUGCCGUGGCAUUGAGACUCCUCUCAAAAUGAGAAGUUUGGUCAUGAAUCAGAACAGGAGAGCUCAUUCUUGUCCAGUCCCACUGAAAAAAAACAUCACUGCAGCAUUGUUUUAUGGAAAGCAUAUGUUAAUGUUGUAAUUUAUUGCUAAUUGAGGUAUAUAUCAUCUCUGCCUGAAAUCAGUGUACUUUUGCUGGCCUGAGGGCUGCAGGUUGCUUGUUUGGUUUUGUUAGAUAUAGUGACUUGAGAUAUAAUUAAAUUAUUUUAAUUAGAAUUGAUAAAUGACUUUUUAGUAUUAAAAACAGCGUCAAGUUUUCAAUAGAAACAGAAAUGAUGUGAAAUAGCGGCUCAACUAAACCAAAAUGUAGCAUUUUAAAAUAAGACGAAUCUGAAUCUCAAAGUAAAUUCAGCAUAUAUUACUAUAUGCUAGCAAAUAUAUAAUGCUAAAGUGCCUGUUUAUUAUUCAUGUGUUGUGUCUUAGAGUAUGCUGUGCUAUUUGUCUUGCAAGCAUUUUCAGAAAUUAUUUGCCCAGAUGGGCCAUUGUAUGUGUUUUGUUUUGCUCAUUGUGGGAAAUUAGUCUUAAUAAAUCAAAAUCACAUAUUGAGUCACAGUAGUGACUUGAGCCAAGUGGGGGAGAGGGAGGGGAAGAGCUACUGUUUCAAUCUAUAACUGAGCCAAAACAUUUCACAUAUGGAAAAGCAGAGUUUGAAAAGAAGAGUCUUAUUUAAAAAACAAAAAAAAACCCAAAAAAACAACAAAACAAAA